Long non-coding RNA from Panicum virgatum (switchgrass), 3022 nucleotides. RefSeq lists it as uncharacterized. The record is from RefSeq and is a predicted model, not a curated record. The transcript is spliced from 5 exons. NCBI's taxonomy places the organism in Eukaryota, Viridiplantae, Streptophyta, Magnoliopsida, Poales, Poaceae.
UAGCAGGCUCCGACCCGUGUGCUCUAGAACUUUGUCGCCCUCUACAGCAGUAGCUUCGGUUUGUUUUUGAGAUCUUUACCGGCCAAAUUAGAGAAUCACAUAUGAACGGAAGCUGUAGUGCUUUUGAAGACCUUUCCAACGAGUAUUUAAACAUAAUGUUUCGUUGAAUAUAGCAAAAGUUCUGGCUUUCUGAUAUUGCUCAACUUUAUUGUCAAAUUCUGUCAGGCCGGGCUCAGUUUCGAAUUUCAAUUUUCAGUGUCCACGGUUUUAGUUCAAGAUUAUUACUGUUACAUGGGACUUGCUUUGGUUUACAUUUUGCUUAUUUAUUUAUGUAUGGUUGCCUGGUGAAAUCUGCUACCUGUGACUGUGAAAAUACGAGUGUAAGAUUGAGUUAUACUGAGCACACGGGUUGCAAGAAUGCUGUAGUUAUACAGAUACGUACAAAAAUGCUGUAGUUACAUGGAUUUGCAACUGCAAAAUCAGUUCCUAGAUCAAUCUUAGAACUCAGCCUAUUUUUAGUGGCAUCCAAGAAUAUCCUUGCAAAAACUACACUUAUUUUGCUUGGGUCAGGAAGAUCAAAGAAAUCUUGAUAGAUAUGCUACUGUAGUUUUUUGGUUACUCACAGGGGCAUCAAUCUUAGUGUGGUUAGGAAGGGGACAUGAACAGUUGCCAAAAAUUUUAAUAACCUUCAUUUGUUCUGGUAUGGUAUUUGUUCAUUAUAUAUCUGUUGUUAGGCUUUGUAGUUGGGGAAAGACUUUAGAACUGAAGCAUGUUAAUAUAAAAAAUUAUCAUGUUUAAUCUAGAUUCACAUUGGCCAGUUUUGCAUCAAAAGUACUUAGCAAAUCUAUUAGGCAACCUUGUCAUGUGUGGUAAUCAGUUUAGAAAAUGAAUGUUUUCCCCUCCAGAGCCACCUAAUAAUAUGAUCUUUCUUUUUUGCUGUCUUCUUAUGACUCAGCGAGGGACUGUACUUAGCCGUGUGUUGCUGCAGACAGCUCCUGGUGUAUUCUUGUUUGAUCCUGCUAGACAAGAGGGCCUGAGUGGCGACAACUCAGGCGAAGGAAUUGGUCUUUGUUUGUUAGAGUUCAGCAAAUUCAGUUGUAGCAAGGCAUUGUGCCUUAUAGAGGAUGGGGCUUCAGUUGCCCAACGCCGUAAGUGUAGCCACCAUUGCCCUUUUCUUUCAAUUCUCAGACUAAAUGCUUGUUUGUUAGAGUUCAACAAAUUCAGUUGUAGCAAGGCACUGUGCCUUAUGGAGAGAUGGGGCUUCAGUUGUCCAACGCCCAUGAACCUAUUUUUGGAAGCCUAAGUAUGUUCAUUCCAAGUUUCAUCUACAGACUGGUACUCUGGUUUCGCCAUUGUCUGGUUGCCCCACACAUUAAUCUGAGUCAAGUUCCUUCUCGAGAAGGACGCCAAUGUCAUCCUUGACAGCCACCUGAAUUACAGAUCUUAAAUACACCGAUACUUGUGUUUAUGACUCUAGAUGAAGUGCUUGAAGCUAAGACCAUUAUUCAAUAUCGUGUGAAAGCCCAUAACAUCUAAUAUCUACUCAUGGGAAGAGUUUCUGCGACUGGUUUUUGUAAGGCAAUGUUCACUGUCAUCAACAAAACCUGAAUUGUAGGUGGUAUUGUUUCCUGUCAAGCAAGAGCACUGAAUCAUCAUGAUAAUUUCAAUCUGACAGCUUUAGGGCUCCGGUACUUCAUAUAAAGUGGGGAGCACAACAUAUAAGGUGGGGAGCACAACAUGGAAGGUCUCGUGCUCCGAGUCGUAUACGUGGACGCCGACCGGUCCCCUCGCCACCACACCGCGACCAUCGCUGUGUCCGUCACUUUGAUCAAUCCACGGCUCCGGCUCGCCGGCGGCAGAGAAGCACGACGAGGGGCGGCACCCCGGCAGCAGUCCGCGCGCGGCCGCCGCCAGCUCCACCGUCUUCUCAAGUGCCCACUAGCCGCGCUGGGGAGCCAGCGUGAAGACCUUGAGAACGCCGCCGGGCGCCGUGGCGAGGAGUCGCGCCCCGCCGUCCCUACCGGCGGCAACCUUCAACGCUGCUGCCCGCUCGUCCACGUCCAAGCCUUCCGUGCGCGGCAGCUCGGAGCACGAGACCUCGCCCGCGCCCCCGCCGGCGUACCAUAAUAGGGGCGCCCGGGUGCGGCCCAUGAAGUCCCCCAGCAUCAUGUCCCUGCCCAAGCCGCCGCCGCCCGCGACGAGGUGAACGUGGAGCCGCGGCAGCGGCUGUGGCCGUCGUGGACCAUGUACAUCACCCGGAAGCUCGACAGGCUCACGCCGCCGCCGUCGAGGAGGAAGGGCUCGAAGUGGAGGUGGUAGCGGCCGGAGCGCACGAUGGGAGGGAUCACCCGGUGGCGCCGUGCGAGGGAGUCGCAGACGGCCAUGUGCAUCCGCCAGCGAGGGCAGCAGUCCUCGCGCUGCUUGACGGCCCAGAGGAGGAGCCCGCCGCGGCUGUCCCGGAUCCUCCGGAACCACGGGUCCACCAUGACCUCGUCGCCGUCGGGCUCAGGAGCGCGCCAGAGGAACUCGAGGGAGAAGCGGCUGCCUAAGGCGGCGGCGGCGGCGGCGAAGACCGGGCGCGCGCGCUCCGGGGAGCAGCCCAGGAAGCGACGACCGUUAUGGUAGGAGCCGGCGACGAGGUGGCGUCCACCGUCACGCGAGGCGAAGCGGCGGAGGAAGUCAUCGCCGACGACGCCGUGCCACCGCCGGCACGCCGCCGCGACGCGGAUGAGGUGGGCCGGGAGGGCAGGAGGAAGAGGAUGAUCAGCUCGAGGACGGGGAUGCCGUGGAUGCCACCCAUGGCUGUCGAUCUCUGCCUUGAGGGAGUGUUAUGACUUUAUGAGGGAGUAUAUGAUCGUCGGCCCGACUCGGAUUCCACUAUAACCGUGAACCAUGAACCAUGAUUUGAAAUCCAAAACCGGAACGGAGACAGUUGAUGUCUGCUUAGAGCCAGGGUUUUUAAUUCCGGUCGGACCCAUCGAUAAAACCGAAAUAUUGAGAAUAUCAGAAUUUUUAUUUUUUU